This 699-nucleotide long non-coding RNA is filed under the name Ursus americanus (American black bear). Its description in RNAcentral is "lncRNA (ENSUAMG00000015645.1)". The record is from RNAcentral. Lineage: Eukaryota; Metazoa; Chordata; Mammalia; Carnivora; Ursidae.
GCAGGGCGAUAGCAUGCGAAGUGGCCCAGCGGGGCGGUUGCUGGCGGGCGGGGGGCGCCCGAGGUGGGAGAGGGUGGGGUCGGGCUGCUUAGAAAGCCCGAGCGUCCGCAGGGCCCACGGCCGGACCGCCAGCCGUAGCCGCCGCCGCGCCUCCAGCGUCUGCAGAUUUUAUAACAUUCAAGAAGCACAUGAAAGAGGCCUCUCUCAUCAAGUAUUCUUGAUUAAGUCACGAAAAUGGAAUUGAAGCUUGUUCUUCCCCUUCAUAUGAAGCCCUCGUUUGGAGUAUCCACCCCUUUUGGCCUGGGCACUGACUGUCUUUAACUGGAAAAACAUCUCACUUUGCAAGUGACUAGAACUGAGUCACCCCACGUGAGCAAAAUCAGCCCUUAAAGAAAGGGCAACAUCAUUAAGUUCUUUCACCAGGAUAUUGUGCCUGCAGGACUUAAAAUGAUUUGAGACAGUUCACUCCUUUGUCCACCCACAAAAUCAUUUGUUAUUUUUAACCUUCAUUGUACAUUACUUUUCUUUAUAUGUUCUAAUGCAUGUUUAAAAGAAAAAUUCUGUAUGUAUAGCUGUGAAUAUUCAUUAAUGCAUUUCAUUUAUUCUGACAAAUUAGGAAGGUGGGCAUCUCUGAAUUUGUGGGCAGGCUGAAUUAAAGAUAACUUUCAAAUAAAUGUGGCCUUUAUUCUUUAAACUACA